GGGGAUAUAGCUCAGUUGGGAGAGCGCGUCGUUCGCAACGACGAGGUCGGGGGUUCGAGUCCCCCUAUCUCCACCA
This 76-nucleotide transfer RNA is filed under the name Chloroflexota bacterium. RNAcentral's name for it is "Chloroflexi bacterium tRNA-Ala". It matches the Rfam family "tRNA". Rfam says of the family: Transfer RNA (tRNA) molecules are approximately 80 nucleotides in length. Their secondary structure includes four short double-helical elements and three loops (D, anti-codon, and T loops). Lineage: Bacteria; Bacillati; Chloroflexota. RNAcentral also lists the same sequence under 1 other name. The record is from RNAcentral.